GAACGGAAAGGCUCCUUGCUUGCAAGGGGUACUCGAGUGGCGAACGGGUGAGUAACACGUGGGUGAUCUGCCUUGCACUUCGGGAUAAGCCUGGGAAACUGGGUCUAAUACCGGAUAGGACCAUGCUUUAGUGUGUGGUGGAAAGUUUUUUCGGUGCAAGAUGAGCCCGCGGCCUAUCAGCUUGUUGGUGGGGUAAUGGCCUACCAAGGCGACGACGGGUAGCCGGCCUGAGAGGGUGUACGGCCACAUUGGGACUGAGACACGGCCCAGACUCCUACGGGAGGCAGCAGUGGGGAAUAUUGCACAAUGGGCGCAAGCCUGAUGCAGCGACGCCGCGUGGGGGAUGAAGGCCUUCGGGUUGUAAACUCCUUUCGCUAGGGAAGAAGCCACUUGUGGUGACGGUACCUGGAUAAGAAGCACCGGCUAACUACGUGCCAGCAGCCGCGGUAAUACGUAGGGUGCGAGCGUUGUCCGGAAUUACUGGGCGUAAAGAGCUCGUAGGUGGUUUGUCGCGUCGUCUGUGAAAUCCCGGGGCUUAACUUCGGGCGUGCAGGCGAUACGGGCAUAACUAGAGUGCUGUAGGGGAGACUGGAAUUCCUGGUGUAGCGGUGAAAUGCGCAGAUAUCAGGAGGAACACCGAUGGCGAAGGCA
Molecule: ribosomal RNA, 651 nt
Filed under: uncultured Actinomycetales bacterium
Lineage: Bacteria; Bacillati; Actinomycetota; Actinomycetes; Actinomycetales
Description: bacterial SSU rRNA
Rfam family: Bacterial small subunit ribosomal RNA
Source: RNAcentral